RNAcentral lists this transfer RNA (65 nucleotides) under Chaetopterus variopedatus. Its description in RNAcentral is "tRNA-Phe". The record is from RNAcentral. Lineage: Eukaryota; Metazoa; Annelida; Polychaeta; Chaetopteridae.
GUAGGAGUAGCUUAAAUUCAAAAGCAUUACACUGAAGCUGUACUUAUAGGUAAUACCUCUCCAAC